CGGCGGUUCUGGAACCACACCUGGCCCAAGACGGAAGGAGAGACGGUGAAGCAGGGGGAGAAAGAAGAAAAUGGGAAAGAAAAGCACCGGUUAGGGUGGCCCAAGUUCUACUUCGGCUUGUUUUAACACCCUCCUCCCCAUGCGCUGUGAUCACCCCCGCGCGCACAUCCACCAAGUCUACCGCUUCUUAUUGCUGUGCAUUUUCGGAGAAACUUUCUUAGGGGGAGUGAGCACGCCAGGGACAUGAAGGCUUGCGGCAGAGUUUAAAAAGCCGCAGGUCCCAGAAAGACCCGAAAAGGGAAGGCCUUAUUUUGGUGGGCCUCUGUUCAGUCGGCUUCUUGAGCAAGCCCCGAGCUCGCCAUUCACCCCUAAGCCUAAGUUCUAAAGUUAAACUCUAAUUGGUAGAAGGAAAAGGGAUCCUCUCUGGGUUUGCUCCGCUGCCCAUCCCCGGCCUUUGAGCCUGGAAGAGCGUGCGAUGGUGCGCACCGCUUCUCGGUCGGGGGCUCACCCAGAGAGGCGCUGUGGCCAACUCGUGAGCGCACCUGUGUUUAACAGGUUGGAGUAAGUCAUGGUUCUUGACCUUCAUGAAGUCACAGACCCUUUGCAAAUCUGAUGCAAGUCACAGUUUCCGGGAAAAUGAACCUAUAUGCCAUGGGGCCAGGUUAAAAGCACUUGAGUUAGGAGGCAUUUUUUUGGGGGGCGGGAGGGGAGAAGGAAAAACUUAUAAUACGGGAGCAAAGUCUGCACACCUUCCACCACAGGCACUUCCUGUCCCCGAAAUUGCAUCGCUCAUCCACGUCCCAAGGCCCCCCAUGUCUCUGCUCGGGUGGGAAACACUUCGCAACUGUAAAUAAAAUGCCAAGAGCGUGCGCUCUAAGCCUCUCUCGAACGCACAGCCACACCAAAUCCAGUAUUUCUGAUCGGCCAUGGGGCCCUAGGUCCUUCUCACUCGAGGCUCCAGGACUUCGAAUUUCACCAGCCGCCCCUCACCCCACACCUCCCCGGACCAGUGCGGCGGAGCGGGGUCGGUUUCCAGGCGCGCGUACCUGGACUCGCGCCUCUGUGAGGUCGAUCUUCAGGGCCAGCUCCUCCCGAGUGUAGAUGUCGGGGUAGUGAGUCUCCGCGAAGACCCUUUCCAGCUCUUUGAGCUGGGCACUGGUGAAAGUGGUGCGGAUGCGCCGCUGCUUGCGCUUCUCGUUGAGGCCGCCGUGGUCCGUGAAGAGUUUGUAAGGAACUAGAGUAUGACAGAGGAGACAGAAAGUGAGCAAAUCAGCCGGCAGCUCGCCGGCCGUGGAGCUAGAAUGUGAGGACUCCAAGGUCAGGUCAUACGGCAGCCGCUACCUACACCCGCGCGAGAGAGUUGCCGAGAGAAGCUGCGGGAAGAAACCGAGGAAAUUUGUUAUCUGCGGAAACCUGGGCUCAAACUUCGGGCUUGGCGGAGUCCUUUCUGGCACAAGCGCCUUUGGGUGGAUUGAAACAGCGCGAUGUGACGGACUUGAGAUAGUGCUUUCAGCAGGAAAAAACCAGAGAGGAAAAAAAUCCAAAAACAUCAGUCGGAAUAUCAGGGAGCCAGGAAAGAAGUUACCAAACAGUCCCACUUUGGGAACUUUUCAAUUCUCAGAAAGUUGACCCGGCUCAAAAGUUGGGGGAAAGAGCUGCAAAAAAAUAAUAAUAAAUUAAAGAAAUAAUCAUAAAAAUGACCAGCCAAAGAGGUGUGAGCCGCUGUCGGUUCUUAAAAAAAGAGACACUGCCAGUAAUGAGCUUUACUCUUUGUUAUUUAAUUAUUUUCUAAGCUUUACGUCUCAUCGCAAAGUAAAUAAAUUAUGCCUAUCAUUUUGGCAGCUUAAGAUAAUUUUGUUGGCGGUUCGGGUGUGACUAGGAUAGUGUAACCCUGUAAGUGAAUUACCCCUCCCUGCAAUCGCUUCUAACGUGAUAAAUUCUUUCAUUUGUGUAAGCAAAUUUCGUUUGGUAAAUACUAAACACAUUUCCAUUUUCAAAUGCAAUCAAGGCUUCCUAUAUACGGGCGGAAAGGCGGCUUCCUCCGCUGAGAAAGCUGAAGGUCCUUACCUGCGGCGUACGGACUGCUCUGGUGGUCCCUGAGGGUGCCCAGGCUGCAGGAUCCCGGCGUGAGGGAAGGGCAGCCGGACGUGGCCCCAAAAGUGGUCCUUAUCGGGUUAUACUGGAAGCCACUGGCCUGGCUGCAGGAACUGAAGUCAGCAUAGGCUGAAGCCAGGCUCGAGGUGUCCAUCCCAGCCAUACAGGACUCGUAGGCAGAGGAAUUGAGGUGUAUUUUCAAGUGAAGAUACCGAGAGCCCAGUAUCACAGAGGAAGAAAGUACUGGUGGUGACACAGCAGGUAUUUUAGAAGUGGGGGCAGCUAUUUUAGACAGCUCUUUCCUAUGUUGUUCCUGUCACACCAUGAAGAUGCCGAUUUCGUCCACCCACAAGAAAGCUGCCUUGGUCCUGGUACUCAAGGGCUCUAUGUUGCCUCCAUCAUAUCCAGAAUUAACUCCAAUAACAUGUUCUUGCAUUCUUCGUCAGCACAGCAAGGGAGCUAACUGAAAGGCAUGUCGGGAACACUGGAAUCAUUCAAUGUCUUAAACUACUCAGCCUUGAAAUACAUAUAAAAAUGAGUUAGAAUUCAAAAACUUUAAAAAUAUUUCUUUUUCUGGGCUUUCGAAAGACCCUACUGGUGCUGCUGUUUGUUUGUCUCAUUUUGUUUUCUUUAGGAGGUUUGUGGGGUUUGCCAGUAAGGUGCUGCAGCAUCAUGCAUUUUAAUGUGUAUUUCAGCUGAUUCAGAAUUUAGGACAAAUGCAAUCCAGUACUCAGGGACAGGCACCACAUGUCCUAGACCUUAGGAGCCAGAAGACAAUAAAAUGCUCACAGUGAUGCAUGUUUGUAGUAUUUCCCCUGUUAGAUAUAAUGCAUAAUAUUUAUUUUCUUUUAAAACACACACUUCUUUUCUUCUCUCUCUCUCUCUUUUUCUCUCUCCCUCUCUCUCUCCCUCUC
Molecule: long non-coding RNA, 3008 nt
Filed under: Homo sapiens (human)
Lineage: Eukaryota; Metazoa; Chordata; Mammalia; Primates; Hominidae
Description: HSALNT0071626
Source: RNAcentral